This 1463-nucleotide ribosomal RNA is filed under the name Corynebacterium sp. RNAcentral describes it as "bacterial SSU rRNA". It matches the Rfam family "Bacterial small subunit ribosomal RNA". The record is from RNAcentral. Lineage: Bacteria; Bacillati; Actinomycetota; Actinomycetes; Mycobacteriales; Corynebacteriaceae.
GGCUCAGGACGAACGCUGGCGGCGUGCUUAACACAUGCAAGUCGAACGGAAAGGCCUCAGCUUGCUGGGGUACUCGAGUGGCGAACGGGUGAGUAACACGUGGGUGAUCUGCCUUGUACUUCGGGAUAAGCCUGGGAAACUGGGUCUAAUACUGGAUAGGACCAUGCUUUAGUGUGUCAUGGUGGAAAGUUUUUUCGGUACAAGAUGAGCCCGCGGCCUAUCAGCUUGUUGGUGGGGUAAUGGCCUACCAAGGCGUCGACGGGUAGCCGGCCUGAGAGGGUGGACGGCCACAUUGGGACUGAGAUACGGCCCAGACUCCUACGGGAGGCAGCAGUGGGGAAUAUUGCACAAUGGGCGGAAGCCUGAUGCAGCGACGCCGCGUGGGGGAUGACGGCCUUCGGGUUGUAAACCUCUUUCGACAGGGACGAAGCUUUUGUGACGGUACCUGUAUAAGAAGCACCGGCUAACUACGUGCCAGCAGCCGCGGUAAUACGUAGGGUGCGAGCGUUGUCCGGAAUUACUGGGCGUAAAGAGCUCGUAGGUGGUUUGUCGCGUCGUCUGUGAAAUACCGGGGCUUAACUCCGGAGCUGCAGGCGAUACGGGCAUAACUUGAGUGCUGUAGGGGAGACUGGAAUUCCUGGUGUAGCGGUGGAAUGCGCAGAUAUCAGGAGGAACACCGAUGGCGAAGGCAGGUCUCUGGGCAGUAACUGACGCUGAGGAGCGAAAGCAUGGGGAGCGAACAGGAUUAGAUACCCUGGUAGUCCAUGCCGUAAACGGUGGGCGCUAGGUGUAGGGGUCUUCCACGACUUCUGUGCCGUAGCUAACGCAUUAAGCGCCCCGCCUGGGGAGUACGGCCGCAAGGCUAAAACUCAAAGGAAUUGACGGGGGCCCGCACAAGCGGCGGAGCAUGUGGAUUAAUUCGAUGCAACGCGAAGAACCUUACCUGGGCUUGACAUAUACAGGUUUGCUGCAGAAAUGUAGUGUCCCUUUGUGGUCUGUUUACAGGUGGUGCAUGGUUGUCGUCAGCUCGUGUCGUGAGAUGUUGGGUUAAGUCCCGCAACGAGCGCAACCCUUGUCUUAUGUUGCCAGCACGUGAUGGUGGGGACUCAUGAGAGACUGCCGGGGUUAACUCGGAGGAAGGUGGGGAUGACGUCAAAUCAUCAUGCCCCUUAUGCCCAGGGCUUCACACAUGCUACAAUGGUCGGUACAACGCGCAGCCAGCCCGUGAGGGUGAGCGAAUCGCUGAAAGCCGGCCUCAGUUCGGAUUGGGGUCUGCAACUCGACCCCAUGAAGUCGGAGUCGCUAGUAAUCGCAGAUCAGCAACGCUGCGGUGAAUACGUUCCCGGGCCUUGUACACACCGCCCGUCACGUCAUGAAAGUUGGUAACACCCGAAGCCAGUGGCCUAACCCUUGUGGGGGGGAGCUGUCGAAGGUGGGAUCGGCGAUUGGGACGAAGUCGUAAC